RNAcentral lists this long non-coding RNA (1303 nucleotides) under Sus scrofa (pig). Its description in RNAcentral is "lncRNA (multiple genes)". The record is from RNAcentral. Lineage: Eukaryota; Metazoa; Chordata; Mammalia; Artiodactyla; Suidae.
UUUUUUUUUUUUUUUUGGCUGUGCACACAGCAGUGACAAUGCCAGAUGCUUAAUCUACUGGAAGGCCCAAUGUCUAUGUUUUAAAUUGUUUCCUACUUAGUAUUUGUCUUUUAAAUUUUAUUAAUUUCUUAGCAAUUACUAUAAAGAAGUUUUAAAUUUUGUAUGUAAUUAAAUAUACCAAUUAUUCCCUUUAUGGUGUAUAACUUUUAUAUCAUGCCUAAAGUCCUUCUUCAAGGUCAUUUUAGAAAUGUAUUGCAGGGAAAUAAGGACAAGUUUGGAAGACGAUAAAAUCACAAUCCACAGAACAAAAACAAAAAUUAAGAAAGUUCCCAUUGUGGUGCAGUGGAAACGAACCUGACUAGUAUUCAUGAGGACUUGGGAUCGAUCCCUGGCCUUACUCAGUGGAUUAAGGAUCUGGUGUUGCCCUGAGCUGUGGUGUAGGUCACAGACAUGGCUCAGAUCUGGUGUUGCUGUGGCUGUGAUGUAGACAUGGCUCAGAUUUGGCACUGCUGUGGCUGUGGCGUAGGCCGGCAGCUGCAGCUCCAAUUCCACCCCUAGCCUGGGAACCUCCAUAUGCCCCAAGUACGGCCCUAAAAAUCAAAACAAACAAACAAACAAACAAACAAACAAACCAGAGUUUGAUCUCACUACACAUAUCAGAAGAGCUAAAAUAAAAGACAGUGACACCACCAAAUGCUGCUGUGGAUGCAGAGAAACUGGAUCACUCCUAUACUGCUAGUGGGAAUGUCAAGUGUUACAGCCACACUGGAAAAGUAGUUUGCAAUUUCUUAAAAACUAAACAUGCCUUUGCCAUAUAAUCCAGCAAUUACACCCUGGGGGCAUUUUAUUCCAGAAAAAAAUGAAAGUACAAAAACCUAUACAUGAAUGUUCAUACUUUAUUUGCAGCAGCCCAACCUGGAAACAAACCAAACGUCCUUCCUUCAAAGGGCAAAUGGAGAAACAAACUGUGAUCCAUUCAUAUCACAGACUGCUCCUCAGCAAUACAAGGGAACACACAUUAGAACGCGCAACAACCUGGAUGGAUCUCAAGAAAACGAUGCUGAGUAAAAGAAAAGCCAAUCCCCAAAAUUGACAUACUGUAUAAUUUUAUUUAACACUUUGAAAUGACAGGUGCACACAGGUCUCACAACGCCAGAGGUGCAACAUACAUGAAAAAACCUUGCUGCAGAGAAAUAAUGCAAAGCUAUACAGGAUUAUAUACUCUGCUUUCCCAAGGGGAAGUGGAUUCUCUUUCUGGAGGGUAACUCAGUCUUAGAGAUAUUUUGCUGAUAAUCUGGCCUUG